Molecule: signal recognition particle RNA, 99 nt
Filed under: Denitrovibrio acetiphilus DSM 12809
Lineage: Bacteria; Pseudomonadati; Deferribacterota; Deferribacteres; Deferribacterales; Geovibrionaceae
Also listed under: 2 other names
Description: Bacterial small signal recognition particle RNA
Rfam family: Bacterial small signal recognition particle RNA
About the family: The signal recognition particle (SRP) is a universally conserved ribonucleoprotein involved in the co-translational targeting of proteins to membranes. Archaeal SRP consists of a 7S RNA and homologues of the eukaryotic SRP19 and SRP54 proteins.
Source: Rfam by way of RNAcentral
CGAUGGGGCCUCUGCAUCUGACAUCCAGCGAACCCCGCCAGGUCCGGAAGGAAGCAACGGUAGUUGGAUUGCCAGAGUGCCGGAGUCACCCUGUCGGGU